Molecule: transfer RNA, 73 nt
Filed under: bacterium
Lineage: Bacteria
Also listed under: 3 other names
Description: tRNA-Ala
Rfam family: tRNA
About the family: Transfer RNA (tRNA) molecules are approximately 80 nucleotides in length.
Source: RNAcentral
GGGGCCGUAGCUCAGUUGGGAGAGCGCCUGGUUUGCACCCAGGAGGUCGCCGGUUCAAGUCCGGUCGGCUCCA